This 301-nucleotide ribosomal RNA is filed under the name uncultured bacterium. RNAcentral describes it as "bacterial SSU rRNA". It matches the Rfam family "Bacterial small subunit ribosomal RNA", at positions 32 to 321 of the family's 1533-position model. The record is from RNAcentral.
AAUCAACGCUGGCGGCGUGCCUCAGACAUGCAAGUCGAACGCGAAAGUCCCCUUCGGGGGAUGAUUAGAGUGGCGCACGGGUGAGUAACACGUAGGUAAUCUACCUUCGAGUGGGGAAUAACUCAGGGAAACUUGAGCUAAUACCGCAUAAUGCAGCGGCACCACAUGGUGACAGUUAGUUAAAGCUAUUUAUGCGCUUGAAGAGGAGCCUGCGGCGGUANAGUCUAGUUGGUAAGGUAAUGGCUUACCAAGGCUACGAUCUGUAACCGGCCUGAGAGGGCGGACGGUCACACUGACACUG